UUUUCCUACGGUCGUGCCCUGCAGGC
Molecule: microRNA, 26 nt
Filed under: Tor tambroides (Thai mahseer)
Lineage: Eukaryota; Metazoa; Chordata; Actinopteri; Cypriniformes; Cyprinidae
Description: MIR7
Source: RNAcentral